Molecule: ribosomal RNA, 274 nt
Filed under: uncultured bacterium
Lineage: Bacteria
Description: partial 16S ribosomal RNA
Rfam family: Bacterial small subunit ribosomal RNA
Source: RNAcentral
AUACGGAGGGUGCGAGCGUUAAUCGUAAUUACUGGGCGUAAAGGGUGCGUAGGCGGCUUGAUAAGUCGGAUGUGAAAGCCCCGGGCUUAACCUGGGAAUUGCAUUCGAUACUGUCAGGCUAGAGUAUGUCAGAGGUUGGCGGAAUUCCUAGUGUAGCGGUGAAAUGCGUAGAUAUCAGGAGGAACACCAGUGGCGAAGGCGGCUAACUGGGGCAAUACUGACGCUGAGGCACGAAAGCGUGGGGAGCAAACAGGAUUAGAACCCCUAGUAGUCC